This is a long non-coding RNA of Zingiber officinale, 667 nucleotides long. RefSeq lists it as uncharacterized. NCBI's taxonomy places the organism in Eukaryota, Viridiplantae, Streptophyta, Magnoliopsida, Zingiberales, Zingiberaceae. The transcript is spliced from 3 exons. The record is from RefSeq and is a predicted model, not a curated record.
UUCUUGCGGUCAAGCUACGGCCUGCCACCGAACCCGAGCCUUUUUGCCUUUUCUUGCGAUUUCCCCAUCUUCCCGAUCCAUCGUCGACAGUCGAUUCUCUUUCUCCUCCGAUCAUGCGAGCGCAAGGGAUGCAGAUCCAUCGUCGGAAACCUGAUUCUCUUUCUCCUCCGGCCACGUGAGUGUAAGGGAUGUUGAUUCAUCACCACCGAAGCAAUUCGAUCACGGCGUUGUUUCUUCUUCCACUCCUCCUGAUCCCCUCGCCUUGUUGAUCACCGACAUCUGUAGGCUGCUGAUACCGUGGGAGGCCGAUGCUGAGCCACAGCACCGUCGGCUUCGAGCAACCCAUCGCCGGUCAAAAGGAAGAGGAUCUGAACCCUAGAUUCGAUCCCUCAUUGCCUCACCUGGGUGCUGUGGUUUCGAGCAAUGGAGCUUCUGUUCCAGCUGAGAUUUUGUUGCCAUCUACACUGUCAUCAGCCACUUGUUACAAGAAAUGUUACUAGGCCGGUGGACCAUUGGAGAAGGGGUUAUUGACAUGGAAUUAAGGGUUGAUAUCAACAGGGCAAAGUGUGGCUAAGGGAUAGACUUCUGAUCGCUGUUUGCACAUCAGGGAUUUUAUUUCGAGGCGAGCGUCUCGACAUGGGAUUGGAUUGUUUGACGCGGUCGACAG